AGAAUCCUACGGGGGGCAGCAGUGGGGAAUAUUGCACAAUGGGGGAAACCCUGAUGCAGCGACGCCGCGUGAGUGAAGAAGUAUUUCGGUAUGUAAAGCUCUAUCAGCAGGGAAGAAAAAAGACGGUACCUGACUAAGAAGCCCCGGCUAACUACGUGCCAGCAGCCGCGGUAAUACGUAGGGGGCAAGCGUUAUCCGGAUUUACUGGGUGUAAAGGGAGCGUAGACGGCGCGGCAAGUCUGAUGUGAAAGUCCGGGGCUCAACCCCGGGACUGCAUUGGAAACUGUCCGGCUAGAGUGCAGGAG
This 305-nucleotide ribosomal RNA is filed under the name uncultured bacterium. RNAcentral describes it as "bacterial SSU rRNA". It matches the Rfam family "Bacterial small subunit ribosomal RNA", at positions 333 to 654 of the family's 1533-position model. The record is from RNAcentral.